ACCUGCGGCAGGUCGCUCACCGGCUCCGGCGCGGGGGCCGGCUCCGGCUCCUCCUUCGGCUUGACGCUGCCGAG
Molecule: transfer RNA, 74 nt
Filed under: Streptomyces mutabilis
Lineage: Bacteria; Bacillati; Actinomycetota; Actinomycetes; Kitasatosporales; Streptomycetaceae
Source: RNAcentral